RNAcentral lists this ribosomal RNA (253 nucleotides) under uncultured bacterium. Its description in RNAcentral is "partial 16S ribosomal RNA". It matches the Rfam family "Bacterial small subunit ribosomal RNA", at positions 524 to 776 of the family's 1533-position model. The record is from RNAcentral.
GACGUAGGGCGCGAGCGUUGUCCGGAUUUAUUGGGCGUAAAGAGCUCGUAGGCGGCUUGUCGCGUCGACCGUGAAAACUUGGGGCUCAACCCCAAGCCUGCGGUCGAUACGGGCAGGCUAGAGUUCGGUAGGGGAGACUGGAAUUCCUGGUGUAGCGGUGAAAUGCGCAGAUAUCAGGAGGAACACCGGUGGCGAAGGCGGGACUCUGGGCCGAUACUGACGCUGAGGAGCGAAAGCGUGGGGAGCAAACAGG